This 272-nucleotide ribosomal RNA is filed under the name uncultured Butyricicoccus sp. RNAcentral's name for it is "partial 16S ribosomal RNA". It matches the Rfam family "Bacterial small subunit ribosomal RNA", at positions 76 to 339 of the family's 1533-position model. The record is from RNAcentral. Lineage: Bacteria; Bacillati; Bacillota; Clostridia; Eubacteriales; Butyricicoccaceae.
UCUUCGGAGAUGGAAUUCUCGACUUAGUGGCGGACGGGUGAGUAACGCGUGAGCAAUCUGCCUUUAAGAGGGGGAUAACAGUCGGAAACGGCUGCUAAUACCGCAUAAAGCAUUAAAUUCGCAUGUUUUUGAUGCCAAAGGAGCAAUCCGCUUUUAGAUGAGCUCGCGUCUGAUUAGCUGGUUGGCGGGGUAACGGCCCACCAAGGCGACGAUCAGUAGCCGGACUGAGAGGUUGAACGGCCACAUUGGGACUGAGACACGGCCCAGACUCC